This 441-nucleotide ribosomal RNA is filed under the name Pasteurella multocida. Its description in RNAcentral is "bacterial SSU rRNA". It matches the Rfam family "Bacterial small subunit ribosomal RNA", at positions 1 to 436 of the family's 1533-position model. The record is from RNAcentral. Lineage: Bacteria; Pseudomonadati; Pseudomonadota; Gammaproteobacteria; Pasteurellales; Pasteurellaceae.
GAAUUGAAGAGUUUGAUCAUGGCUCAGAUUGAACGCUGGCGGCAGGCUUAACACAUGCAAGUCGAACGGUAGCAGGAAGAAAGCUUGCUUUCUUUGCUGACGAGUGGCGGACGGGUGAGUAAUGCUUGGGAAUCUGGCUUAUGGAGGGGGAUAACUGUGGGAAACUGCAGCUAAUACCGCGUAUUCUCUGAGGAGGAAAGGGUGGGACCUUAGGGCCACCUGCCAUAAGAUGAGCCCAAGUGGGAUUAGGUAGUUGGUGGGGUAAAGGCCUACCAAGCCUGCGAUCUCUAGCUGGUCUGAGAGGAUGACCAGCCACACUGGAACUGAGACACGGUCCAGACUCCUACGGGAGGCAGCAGUGGGGAAUAUUGCGCAAUGGGGGGAACCCUGACGCAGCCAUGCCGCGUGAAUGAAGAAGGCCUUCGGGUUGUAAAGUUCUUU